UGGUGUGAACAGGUUACCUGUGGUGCAGUGUAGUAGUGGAAAAAGCUGCAUCAUGUGUGACCUGCCCACACCGC
RNAcentral lists this microRNA precursor (74 nucleotides) under Ornithorhynchus anatinus (platypus). Its description in RNAcentral is "mir-1421 microRNA precursor family". It matches the Rfam family "mir-1421 microRNA precursor family". The record is from Rfam by way of RNAcentral. Lineage: Eukaryota; Metazoa; Chordata; Mammalia; Monotremata; Ornithorhynchidae.